AGUCCUGGAGGAGACGAGGUACUGUGGACUGGAGUCCUGGAGGAGACGAGGUACUGUGGACUGUGUGAGGCUAAAGAUCAGAGCUGCUACUCCCUCGAGACAGUGAGAAAGUGAACCAGGUAGGAAAGAGAGCGAGAACGAGCGCGCACACAGAGGGGAGGAGUGGGGCAGAUGAGGUAACAACGUUAUCUGAAGUGGCUGAAUAGUGAACACAAGCCUGAUGGAAAAUAACUCCACCCGUUGGUCAAUCACUAGUUCCAGUGUAAUUGCAUCAUCACUGUGUGACGACGAAUCACAGUAUAAAAGUAAGCAGGAAAUUCCACUCACAACAGGGGCAUUUCACAAAUGACAUUGAGCCCUGGUCAAAUGUAGUGUACUACCGUAUCUAGGGAACAUGGUGUCAUUUGGGACACAGGCCUGAAGACUCUGAUUCCCAUCAAUAGACCAGAGACCUCUGACUCACUAAAGGGUUUUAAAGUGAAGAGGUGGAGGGGUGUGAAUAUCCUGUGUUCGUGUGUGUGUGUGUGUUGAGGGGAAAUUGUGGCUGUGGUGGUUACAGACUGAAACAACGCAAAGAGGAUUCGCCAUGAGUCCAAAACACUGGAUACGGAGACCGAGGCCGGGACUCUGCACACCCAAGCUGAGGGGACGCGGCACCUGGGAGAGAGACUGCAGCAUAUCCACUUCUGGAAUCGGAGCUGCAGCGGCACAUCGAGAAGCUGGUGGCCGAGACAGACCUCCUCCUGGGACAGAAGAGGAGGCUGUUGAAGGCGCUGGACGCCACUAAGAUCCCGUUUGCCAUCGCCACGGAUAACCUAACCUGUCGGGAACUGCGACCGCGUAGAGGAGGAGCUGCUGAUGAUACAAAAAUAACACAGACUUGUCUUUGCUCUAGUUCACCGAAAUACUUGUAUCAUUAUUACAUGUUGCCUAUACAUUAUUUCACUAGAAACCAAUCUGAAAAUAAGGUGAUGGUUGUGUUUGUGUACCGCAGGAGGUGGAGUUAAUCAGGAGCAUCCAGGCUCUGUUGAAGAGAACGCUGAGUCAGGCUGUCAAUCAAAUCAAGAACAGAACGUACAUAAACCAAAAAUCAACUCGCUGAUGGGACGUUCCAUUAUAAGGAGAGUGGCCAGCUCCAAGG
This is a long non-coding RNA of Oncorhynchus gorbuscha (pink salmon), 1141 nucleotides long. RefSeq lists it as uncharacterized. Lineage: Eukaryota; Metazoa; Chordata; Actinopteri; Salmoniformes; Salmonidae. The transcript has 3 exons. The record is from RefSeq and is a predicted model, not a curated record.